CAUGCUGAUAAGACCUUAUUCUAAUCACUUGUCCACCUGAUAGGAAGCAAGGCGCCGCAUGCCGUCGCUUAACGCGCGCGACAGACCGCUCGAUCUCGAGACGAGGGCGAAACCGUCCACGCGUGCACACUAUCAGUGUCCGUGUCACGUUCCCAUGUGUGUGCGUUGAUCGCUGGUACGACACUCUUUAAUCUCCCACGCUUUAGUGCGCGCGUCGCAUGCUCUCGGCAUCAUUUUCGCGAUAGCCGCGCGUCGCUCCUCCCGGAAGCGUCAUGUAGACGAUGAUGAGCAGGUGCCAAGCACAUCGGUGCCGCUGGCGUCGAUGUUCGAGUUACAUUAUUACGUUGCUGCACGCGAAACAUUCCAAAUCACGAAGUAAAAGCGACGUUGUGAGUGUGCAAAACUGCGAAACUAUGUGUGUAAUUCUUCCGUAAAAAAUGUGUUGUGCACUUUGCUCCGAAAGUAUUAAAAGUGACCAGCCGAAAUACGAGUGAUUCAUCAAUCCAUGUCCGAUGAUCAAAUAUUGAAAAAGUUCCAUGGAAAUUGGAUAAUUUAAUAGGCACUACGAAAUGAAAAAGAAGCAUCCACCGUUUGACUUAGGUGACUUUCGAUUCCAAAUAAGAGAGAAUGGGAAAAACGAGACUCAGACGAAGGAAACGAGAAACAUCGCAAUCCAUAGACAACUAGCGAUAGCAUCUGAUCGUAGCCCAUAAAUGCCGGUUGUGUAAAAACUAUCAAAAACCAUCUUGUUAAAAGAAGCUGCUCGCGGAAGGUGAUGACAGAAGAAACUGAAAGAGAAAGAGAGAGAAAGAGAGCAAAAAUAGAAAGAAACGGCAGUGGAGAGAAAUCUUAAUGCGUGUGCGCAUGCAAGAGAUAAUUUCCGAGUGAUUUAUCUUCUUAGAUUCGCAGGUGUCGCGCACGUCCUUCACGGCCUUUAUCUUCGUCGUACCGUCUUUUUCUUCCCGCCAACGAAUAGUAACUCCUUGUGGCGCUUCUAUUUUACGAUCGCAGGAUGAGAGGAAGAGAGAAUAGAACGAGAGUAGUAUUCUCGGGUGCGACAGAUCUGGAAUAAUUGGAGGACGAUUCGCGGUCGAAGAGAGAAAAGUCGAAGGGACGAGGUUUAUGCAAAAAGGGCGGAACAAAGAUGAAUGAGGAGGAGACCGACGAA
Acromyrmex echinatior (Panamanian leafcutter ant) is the source of this 1168-nucleotide long non-coding RNA. NCBI's taxonomy places the organism in Eukaryota, Metazoa, Arthropoda, Insecta, Hymenoptera, Formicidae. The record is from RefSeq and is a predicted model, not a curated record.